GCAACCACAGACUGUGCACGGAUUCUCUGAAGUUCUUGUUAUGAGCUACGAUUUGAUCGUAGGUUUCACGGACCAGAUGCGUCAAACCCUCGAACCCCACGAAGUGAUUAACCUCUUCGGCGAUGGGUGUCACUUCCUCGGCGGCGGACGGUGCAUAAGCCUCGAUCCAUAAAGGAUCGUUCUUCACUUCCGACGGGGCCUUAGAUAGAUGCUGUCCUGGUGGACGCGGUACGUCGGGUACAUCAGAAAAGGCUGAUGUCUUCGGCCGAAAGGGAGGGCGUCUUCCUCCUUGGCGCCGGUUCGCUGAUGCGUCGGUACGACUGGACGCAGGAACGACUUCGUCACUUGACGGUUUACGGUUACGAUUCUUGGCUGAUCGUGCCUCUCCGAGGUCUUACAAUAAGCUCUGUAGUAUGAGUUGUUCUGAAAAGAACAGUUUAUGAGGGUGCGCUUGAUUGGUGUCGGGCUUCGACUAACAAUUUAAGUAUAACAAUUUGCUUUCAAAAAGGGGUAGAAGUAAAAAAAAAAACAAUGUUUCGUCCAGGGUUGAGUAUUGGAGACCAUCCAGUAUUCAAGAAUGACAAUGCCGCUCUCUGAGCUGGCGUAGGUGCGGCGAUAGUCCACGGCCAAAUUCGGGCGGCGUCGGCUUGACCCAAGUCUGAUCGACUGACUCUAUACAGGAAGGCUCCUCCAAGGUAGCUUGCCGAUCCAGGCAUGGCUAGAGGCGUACGGCCACGGUACGACAGGUUUGCGGCUGUUGUAUUCACUGGAGCACAUAGCAACAUCUGUCCAACAGAACCAGCAAUAGUCUGGGGUACUGGUACUAGUUCGAUGCGUGGAACCUCAGCUAGGUAGUGGGAAACGGCGUUAAGGAGCACGGUAUUCAGUGGGAGAGUGUCAAUCUCACUCGGGAAGUCAUUGGCGGUAAUCCGGGCACGCGUGUAGAUGACGCUAUGAUUAGGUCGUAACUGAUCAGCGUCGGCAUAACCCAUCAGUCUGCUGUUCCAUACAUGGGCUAAGCCAUUAGGAUGCCAUGCAGCGUUCUGCUGGUGUAGCCGUAAAGCGUAUUUGCUCUCGGAUGCGUUGGGCGUAGACAGGGAUGUUGGGAUACAAAGUCAUAUGCAGAUGAUCUGCAUCAAGGUCAUUGGGGUACCCGUUAUUCCCCAGGGUGUAUGGUGUCAGCCUAAACUUGGAUUCUACUGAGCUAUGGAUGUUAAGUUUCCCAUUCCUGACAAAUAGAUACCAACUGAGCUUGGGACGUGGUAGUUAGACUGAGUCAAUACCAUGUCUAGAAGCUCACGUUCAGCAACAUGUGUGCGAUAUCCAUUGGCAUGCUGGAAGAAUAGGGCUCUUGCCCAGGUGAGUGUAGCUAGGUAGUAGGCGUAGGCGGAUUUGGGCACGGAUUCUCUGAAGUUUUUGUUAUGAGCUACGAUUUGAUCGUAGGAACGACUUCGUCACUUGACGGUUUACGGUUACGAUUCAUGGCUGAUCGUGCCUCACCGAGGUCUUACAAUGAGCUCAGUAAUAGGAGUUGUUCUGAAAAGAACAGUUUAUGAGGGUGCGCUUGAUUGGUGUCGGGCUUCGACAAACAAUUUAAGUAUAACAAUUUCCUCUCAAAAAGGGGUAGAAGUCAAAAAAAAUAAAAAACAA
This is a long non-coding RNA of Aedes aegypti (yellow fever mosquito), 1650 nucleotides long. RefSeq lists it as uncharacterized. The record is from RefSeq and is a predicted model, not a curated record. Lineage: Eukaryota; Metazoa; Arthropoda; Insecta; Diptera; Culicidae. The transcript has 2 exons.